This is an RNA transcript of Podarcis raffonei (Aeolian wall lizard), 3570 nucleotides long. It is a transcript of the gene named cytochrome P450 2C19-like, with no coding region annotated. The transcript has 9 exons. The record is from RefSeq and is a predicted model, not a curated record. Lineage: Eukaryota; Metazoa; Chordata; Lepidosauria; Squamata; Lacertidae.
GUAUACAAGAAGCUCUCAUGCAGGAACCCGGUCCUGAAUGCACCUUAGAAGCAGAACCAUUUGCCUCAAGGCUACAUUACAAUGUUUGGCAGGAAAAAACCUGAACCCCUGGUUGUCUUACAUCGCAGACCUUGUGCUCAGUAAUGCCGUUAUCAUUGCCUUACUAAUCAAUGAAGAAAAAGAAUACAGACUGAAGUUCAGAGUUCAUUUCUUGAUUAUACAACCUUAUCUACUUAAUGGCUAAUCUCAUUUACUCAGAGAAACCUAGAAUUCCUAUUGGUGAAAGUCCAUGUCUAUGUGACCUCCUCAGAGUAUAUAAAACUGGAAAGCAAAUUAAUUCGUCUAGAGUCAUUUCAGUCACUGUUAGCUGGUGCCAUGGAGCCUCUAGGGACAGUGACGAUUUUGAUGAUCAUAUGUAUCUCUUGCCUUGUUUUCCUUGCAGCCAGAAGCAGAACGCCAGAGAAUGCAAAGCAGCUGCCACCUGGCCCACCUCCACUGCCCAUCGUAGGGAACGCUCUGCAGCUGAAGACCAACAACCUGGCCCAGGUUCUCCAGGAGGAAUUGUAUUCAGCAAUGGGGAGAUGUGGAAGCAGCUCCGACGUUUUGCCCUUACCACCCUGCGCAACUUUGGCAUGGGAAAGAAAAGUAUUGAGGAGAGGAUCCAGGAGGAAGCACAGUUCCUGCUAGAAAAGUUCCAGGAGACGCAGGAGAAGCCCUUGGAUCCAACCUACUCGCUCAGUUGCGCUCUCUCCAAUGUCAUUUGUGCAAUUGUCUUUGGGAAACGAUACGAUUAUAAUGACAAGAAGUUCCUAUCCAUGAUGAGCUUAAUGAAUGAAAACUUUCAGGUUUUUAGCUCUUCUUGGGGACAGCUCUACAACCUCUUUCCUUCUUUGAUGAAAUGCAUCCCUGGGCCCCACCGCAAACCGCUGAAAAACAACUUGGCACUCAGAGAGUUUGUUUUGGAGGAGGUUGAAGAGCACAAGCCCACUCUGGACCCCAGCUCACCUCGGGAUUUUAUCGACUGCUUCCUUAUGAAAAUGGAUCAGGAAAAAGGUUAUAGUGCAUCCCAUUUCACCAUUGAAAACUUGGCCAUAAGCACAGUUGACUUGUUUGCGGCUGGAACAGAGACCACCAGCACCACACUGCGAUACGGGUUCAUGAUCCUCCUCAAAUACCCAGAGAUACAAGAGAAAGUGCAUGAAGAAAUUGACCGAGUUAUUGGCCGAUCACGAAGUCCUUGCAUGGCAGAUCGUGGGGAAAUGCCUUACACAGAUGCUGUCAUCCAUGAGAUCCAGAGGUUCAUCUCUCUCCUCCCACUGAGCGUCCCUCAUGCAGUACUCAAAGACACACCGUUCAGACAAUAUGUCAUUCCAAAGGGCACUACCAUAUAUCCAAGUCUGACAUCUGUGCUACAUGACAGCAAAGAAUUUCCAAACCCCAAAGAAUUUGACCCGGGACAUUUCUUGCACAAAGAUGGCACCUUCAGGAAGAGCGACUAUUUCAUGCCUUUCUCAGCAGGGAAGCGGAUAUGUGCGGGGGAAGGUCUGGCCCGUAUGGAGAUCUUCUUGUUCUUGACCACCAUAUUACAGAACUUCACUCUGAAGUCCAUCAUUGACCCCAAGGACAUCGAUCUCACACCUGUGUUGAGCAGCAUAGGCAACUUCCCUCGGCCCUAUCAGCUCUGCAUUGUCCCUCGCUGAAAAGCCUGCCUCAGGAGGGCUGCACAUGUGGAAAAGUCGCAGCUUGGCAAAUCUUUGUUCAAAAAACCCAUAACACAAUAUCUCCUCACGUGUGGAGCCCUAUCUUCUUACCUGACUAUUUGUUGAAAUGUUUCUUUGGGGAUCUUGCUAGAGACUAUUUCAUGUUGAAGACAUUAUUGCAAAGGACAAAUAGCAGGAUUUAGAAAUUAGUCCCACACAAAAAAAUCCCAUUUUUAUCUUUCUUGCCCCUUCAUAUGCAUAUGUGUGCAGCAGCGUAGCUAGCCGCUGGAGUGACUGGUGCAUGGGCGUGUCCUGCAGCCAGGGGUGUGUCGAGCCACCCAUGGGGGUGGGGCGAACCUCUCCAAUGCUUGGAGCCUCUCUGCCGCCUCCCCCUCAGCUGUAGGGCGUCUGAGGGAGAGGCAGUAGGCAGACACAAAUCCCACAUUGCAGCGCGAAACUUGCAGGUGCCUAAGCCACCAUGUCACUCCAAAAAAUUUCAUGAGCCCAAUUUUUUAAAAACUCAUUUUGUCACACACCCCUCCAUGAUGACAUCCGGGGCAGACUGUACCCCCCACCCCCUUCCUCCACCACUGUAUUUGUGUGAUGGGCAAAAUCUGCCAAGAUGUAAGCUUUUUAGCCACUGAGUCUUGUUACUCUUUGGGCUAAAUGAAGCCAAUCAGAGUGGAAGGAACUGAGUCAACCACUGAGGAACUGGCAACCCUCAACGGUGGUUGGAGUCUUGCACCCAUCACCCCUGAUGUUGGCUGGGGCAGAUGGGGGCUGGAGUCCAGGAAUAUCUGAAGGGCUGCAGGUUCCCCAUUCUUGCCAUGAGGGCUCAGUUGGGACAACUCCCAUAAUCCCAUUUCAUUGGCUAGGUGGCUGGAGAUAAUGGGAGCUGCAGUCCAGCAACAAAAUCUCCAACCUUGACUUGGUGGGUUGAAGUGCUGCAGGCUGUAGAAGCUGGGUGGGUUGAGACCCCUGUCUGAGAUGACCUUUUCAUUCCCUCGCAUGUCGUACCUGAGAUACAGCAAAGUUGUUUAACUGAGUGACAACAUAAGCUUUUUUGGUGACCCUUCUAUAGAUCUGUACACUGAGAUUGGCAGGUAUGUCGAUGCUAAUAAUAAAGCACAGGCAGACAAUUUUAUUUGGAAAGAUAGUCCAAUAAACUCAGUUUGGAGUUUCCUGGUGCUAGAACAAAAUGUAUUUCACUUUCAGCCUGAGCUAAGAAGGAAAGUCUUUGGAGGGUGCUGCAGAAAUCAAUAGCUUUUAAAAUCUUUACCCCUUUCAACUAGUAGAACAUCCUUGAGACUUGACAUUUACAAAUGUUUGCCAAUAAUUCCUUUAAGGGUAACCAUGUUCUAAAGAACAGAUAGCAAUACUGGAUGCAACUGAACUUCUGAGUAAGUAUGGGAAAUGAACUAAGCACAGAGCAUAGAUGGGCAAGAUCUCCCAAGCCUACCUUGGAUGAACUUGGAAAUCAUCCAAGCUCUUCCAGGAUAAGAAAACUAUUUUUUUUCCUCCUGAGCCCAACUGAGGCUCUCACUGUCUUUAAAAAUCUAGAACUGAGAAAAUAGCUCUCCCUCAAAUUCUCCACUUACUUUGUGGGUGGCAAAAUAAGGAAGGUCAUUGUGGCGUUUGCCCUCCUAGGUGUGUGACAUCAUACUGGGUUCAUAAGGAAAGGGUUAACUAAUUGUAAAAUGACUAACCUAUAGGAACCCAAGGGGAGAAGUUAGAGUUGGUGUUAGAGUUGUUAAGAAGUCAGUUGAGAGUUAGAGAAGGGAGAGGGAGGAUAAGUGUGUGGGUUGGGCUAGUUUGAUGUGAGAACGUGAGAGAAUCAGUUAAGAGGAGUCAGUUAUACAGUUGGGAUAAU